UACAGUAGUAGGUCCUUGUUGUUUAUUUUAGGGGGAUUUUGAUCAAAUGUAUUGAUUAGUUCGGGAAGGCUGGCCCAUUUCUGAGCCACUCCGACCCACUUAAUCAUUUUCCCCGUUGCUUUUCACAUGAGCAACCGCUUCCAUCGUAGAUUCCGAGGUGGCGUUUGCACGCAGGUUUCCUGGGUUUCUCCAGGUUAAUUCUGGCCCUGGUCGCUUUGUUGGUGUUUCCCGUAGGUUAGAACCCCCUUGGGCCGAUGCCGGGGGAUGCUGCUGGCCCAGGAUGGCGUCCCUGGAAGCUACUGGCUUUCCUUCCUCCGCUUAACACCUCCUACGUUGCUGUCCUGCCCGCGCGUCCGCUGAGCCGCUGUCCAGUGCUGACGAGCAGCUAUGGUCUCCUCAUCCGCCCCCAGCUGUGGGGUCAGUGAUGACGCGAUUGAGGUGUCGCCCUGGGCGCGCCCCGGACUCUGGGUUCCACACGUGCUGCUUGAGACACCCGCAGGCUCCACUCAGACCCUGCGGCCACACCAGCUCCUCCCCAGCCCGUGGAGGCGUGGGCUCCGACACCUCCCGGCCCCAGAGGGCAUCUUGCUGGAGUGCAUGGGCCAUGCCCAGAGUCUGUAGCAGUGAACACCCCAGGGACCGGGAGCUGACACCCCUUCCCUGCACAAAGGCUGCUGUGAGGGCCCCAUGGAUCAGGCACAUGGGAGCCUGUCCUGGGGACCCCUGGCCCACUUCUCUCACUCUGCUCCCCAUGAGAACACAGCCCCAAAGCCUCCCUGUUGGGCUGUGCUUUCUGUGGGGCCCAGACCAAGGUGGUCCUAGAAGACGGGCCCUCAGGAGGGGGUUUUGGAGGCAGGUCUCCCACUGAGGGAGGGGCUCCCGGAGUCCGGCUGCUGGUGCGGAGUGGGGCAGUGACUUCCCCAGGCUGCAGCCACCACGUGGGGCCAAGGCUCUCUCGGGAGUGGAGGUGCAGGUGGAGGUGAGGUGCUGGGUGGCUGUGGCACUGACCGAGAAGCUUGGUGACAUCCGUGAGGACCAGGGCGGCAGCCUUCUCUGUCCGGAGAGCCUUGGGGAGAGAAGAAGGAUGUGUUGGAGUCCUACCUCCCCUGCCCCCCACGAACAUGACUCGAAUUGGAGAUAAGAGGACAUUGAAGACACGAUCAGGUGCAUGGUCCCCAGUCUCAGGGGACCGUCCUAGUGGAAAGGGACUUCUCAGAGCCUUGAACAGGCUGAAAGGGUGCGCUGGGACAAAGCCUCUCCCAGGUACCUUUGAUCAAAAACCACCUCCCUGGCCCGCAGGACUUAUUCACCAGCAGCCGAGCCCGUCUGGGAGACGUCGCAGGGUGUGGUUUUGGAACUGACUACCAGUACCUCGGGGAUGUCACGGGUUUGGUCCAGACCCCCGCAGUAAGGUCUGGAGUCCACCACGCCGUGGCUAUAAAAAGCUCAGCCCUGCGGAUCAUGAGAGAGGUCAGCGGGCCAUGGGCAAGCCACCAUUCCCUGCUCUGCAGUGUCUUCCAGAGCCUCCUGGGAGCAGCUCUCCAGUCUCGCUGUGGCUCAUCCAGCUUCCUCGUCCUGAAGGCAGGGAGGGCCCUGCUCUGUCCCCCCUCCCAGGACCCCCGACGGACCUGGGGACAUCGCACCUCGGCAUCUGUGUGAAGGACCCAGGUGGCCCAAAGUGCCAGGACAAUGGCUCUGGGGACUCUGUAAGGGACAAGCCUGCAGGACAGUGAGGACACCGAAGCCCUGGGCUGGGGGUCCCUCUAGGUCACCCUGGGGGUCACUGGAGCCUGAGCCCUGACCCUGCUUCUCCCCCUGCGGAGGGUGCGAGUGAAAGCUUCUGUACCGUUAGCUGGUCCUUCCCACCACACAGACCCGCUCAGGUCCCUGGGGACCAGAGGAGGCCCCCGGGCGGGGGUCCGGUCCCCGGGCUGGCACCGUCACAGGGGGUUGCUUUUAACAAGCAGCACGUGUGCGUCCCGGCUGGCUUCCUGUGCAUUAUGUACAUGCCCAGGGCGCUGACAUUUUCUGGCGACAGAAGAAUUUGGCCCCUUUCCUCCUGUGCCUGCCAUGGGGGUCCCCACCCUGGCGGCGAGGGUCUUGGCAUCCGAGUUUGCCAGGCAUGGCCCGGGAGGCGCGGGGCGGCCUGUGGGCGGUUCGUGUCCAGAUCUGGGUGGAAAGCAGGGGUGGGGACGGUGGCAAGGGCGGAGAGGUGCCUGGCGGAGGGGCCAUUAACCACCAGGUAACAGACUUGAUUAAUUUUGUGCCUGGAGGGUUUUUUUUCCCUUUUCCCAAAGAAUCAGAGAAAACAAAAUAUUUUUCUAAUUAAAUAAAUCUACGGUACACGCUAAUGGAGGCCGUCUGUGGGUUUGUGCCAGGGCAGGGGGAGACGGGGAAUAAUGAUUUUAUUUUUUUCAUUAAAUAGAAUUAUAGGCAGUUACUCAAAGCAACGCUGAGCCUAAUUGAAAGAAACCCAUUUCUUCUUAAUUUACUUUCACGGUUUUGGAUGAUAAAAGAGUGUGUUCGUUGGAAAAUUAAAUAAAAAACACACCACGAGGAAA
Phacochoerus africanus (Common warthog) is the source of this 2561-nucleotide long non-coding RNA. RefSeq lists it as uncharacterized. The transcript is spliced from 5 exons. NCBI's taxonomy places the organism in Eukaryota, Metazoa, Chordata, Mammalia, Artiodactyla, Suidae. The record is from RefSeq and is a predicted model, not a curated record.